GAUGUAAUUGGGUUCCUGUAGCAAAUGGGGUAAGGGCUCUGCGUGUCUUAACACAUCAUUGCCACCAGAAGGCCCAUUUACAACUUGCUUAGAUUUUGGUGGGAAGAAGAGGAAGGCUGACAUCCGAAGUACAUUAUAGAUGCUGAGUUGAGCAUUAACUUCUGUAGCUGGGCUCUGAGGGACAACCAAGACAGGUCUGCUUCAACACAUCAGGACCAUGUUCUUGAACUGGAUGGACCCUGGAGCAUCUCAGCGUGGCAUCACAGUGCUGCUCAUGGAAAACAUCAACUGGCAGACCCACUGAGACAUUUUCAGAACAUAAACAUUGUUUUUCUUAUUUCCAUUGUUUACCCAUUGUAGAAAAUGUAAGAAAACAUGAAAAGGGUGAAAAUCUAACUUAAACUCCCUUAUACAGGUAAU
This 420-nucleotide small RNA is filed under the name Pongo abelii (Sumatran orangutan). RNAcentral describes it as "sense intronic". The record is from RNAcentral. Lineage: Eukaryota; Metazoa; Chordata; Mammalia; Primates; Hominidae.